Molecule: long non-coding RNA, 1530 nt
Organism: Pygocentrus nattereri (red-bellied piranha)
Lineage: Eukaryota; Metazoa; Chordata; Actinopteri; Characiformes; Serrasalmidae
Source: Ensembl
CACUGCUGGGGGAAAGGGAGGACACCUAACCCCAGAUUGCCUUUGGAAUCUCCUUUGUGGCUCCUUGAAUUAGCUUGGUAGUUUAGCUGUGAGUGGUGGUUGGAACAAGAGUCAACUGUUACCUGCCUAGCUGUUAAAAACUGUUGUUUUUCAGUUUUCAGCAGUGACAUUGUAAAUUGAAACCAGAAAAAAGUCUCAAUUUUUUUUUUUUUUACAAUUCUAGUAGACCUCAGCAAAUUCCUUUUCUCAAGGUCAGUCUUUCAGGGUUUGCAAACCUAAUGCUAGGUCAGCAUAUAAGGCUUAUGAGGUGAGUUUUCCAUAUAGCAAUUUGAAACCCUGUGGGUAGAAAGACUUUAUUCAAGUCUUCCUACCCAUUGUAGAUUUGCUCAGUAUGAAUCUGCUGAUACUGUUGUGUUUCAGAGUGACGCAGAUAGUGUGUGUUUGAUCUGCCAUGAACUGUGCACUGGAGGAGGAGGAGGGGGAGUAGGAGGAGCCCAUGAACUUCACUGUUCCCACCGCUUCCACAAAGAGUGCAUUGAAGAGUGGCUGUGGAUCAAGCAGUCAUGUCCCACCUGUCGUGUCCAUGUUGUCAUGCCUGAACCUGUCUACUGGUCCUCUGCCCGAGUUCAGUUUCCCUGAUGACCCCUGCAACAUACACCUGCAUGACCUUUCCUGUUUUUGAGUGGGAAAAGGAACAUCCACUAGACUUUUGCAUGGCAGGACCAUAGUCAGUCUUCCCCAUGAUUAAUGAUAUUAAUGUCCACUUACCAUCUCACUGUUGCAUGCACGCGAAAGUUUUGUGGGUGCAAAUCGGAUGGACGAUUAUCCUGGCUAUGUUUAUGAAGAACAUUCAUGUUUACUGUCAAAUUGAAUGUGCAGAAGCUGAUCUGGACAUGUAGGAUGAGAUUUGGAUUAUUGUGAGCUUUCACUGGUGCGUGCAGUUGUUGCCUGAGAUAAGGCAGCUAUCAUGAAAGUGUGCGUUUCUGCAUCUGGCCAUCCAGAACUCUUAUCCUUAUCCUUAUCUUCUUCUUGAAGCCUAGUUCCAGUCCUACCCCUUCUUCUCCAGUCCUUUUCCCUGCCUUUCCCCACAAAAGGCAAGCUUUUUAACGAAACAGUGAUGCCAAAUGCAGCCUUUUUUGUUACGUCUUUGAUUUCAGUGCUCCUUUCAGUCACAUUAUAUCUUAAAGUGGCACUGAAGAUUGUGAUACGAUUCUGAAGAUAUGUUAAGGUCUUGCAUCUGAACACUGUUGUUACCAUGUUUAGUGCACUAUGGUCAGGUUUCCCAGACACAAAUUGUGUAAGUGUAUUUAGUGCAGUGGUGAUUCAUCAUUGAACCUCCUGUUUUAGACUAGGUUUAGGGUUAACUGUGUUAAACUAGUGCCGAAUGGCCGGAUGUAGUGUGUUUUUCAGAUGUUACCCAAUGAUUUCAAGGUGGCCUCAGCGCCACUCACUGUCAAAUUAAAUGAAGAACCGUAUACAUAAAAUAAAGAAGAUAAAGGUCUAACAAGGUUAAGUGGAAACACCGUCUUC